CGCGCAGGCGGCCAGGUCAGUCGAAUGUGAAAGCCCCCGGCUCAACUGGGGAAGGUCAUUCGAUACUGCCUGGCUUGAAGAUAGGAGAGGGAAGCGGAAUUUCAGGUGUAGUGGUGAAAUGCGUAGAUAUCUGAAGGAACACCAGUGGCGAAGGCGGCUUUCUGGCCUAUUCUUGACGCUGAGGCGCGAAAGCUAGGGGAGCGAACG
This 207-nucleotide ribosomal RNA is filed under the name uncultured bacterium. RNAcentral's name for it is "partial 16S ribosomal RNA". It matches the Rfam family "Bacterial small subunit ribosomal RNA", at positions 568 to 774 of the family's 1533-position model. The record is from RNAcentral.